AUUGAACGCUGGCGGCAGGCCUAACACAUGCAAGUCGAGCGGACGAAGGGAGCUUGCUCUUGGAUUCCGCGGCGGACGGGUGAGUAAUGCCUAGGAAUCUGACUGGUAGUGGGGGCUAACGUCAGGAAACGAGCGCUAAUACCGCAUACGUCCUGAGGGAGAACGUGGGGGAUCUUCGGACCUCACGCUAUCAGAUGAGCCUAGGUCGGAUUAGCUAGUUGGUGGGGUAAAGGCCUACCAAGGCGACGAUCCGUAACUGGUCUGAGAGGAUGAUCAGUCACACUGGAACUGAGACACGGUCCAGACUCCUACGGGAGGCAGCAGUAGGGAAUAUUCGACAAUGGGCGAAAGCCUGAUGCAGCCAUGCCGCGUGAGUGAAGAAGGUCUUCGGAUUGUAAAGCACUUUAAGUAGGGAGGAAGGACAGUAAGAGAAAACCUUGCUGUUUUGACGUUACCAACAGAGAAAGCACCGGCUAACUACGUG
RNAcentral lists this ribosomal RNA (484 nucleotides) under uncultured bacterium. Its description in RNAcentral is "partial 16S ribosomal RNA". It matches the Rfam family "Bacterial small subunit ribosomal RNA", at positions 30 to 507 of the family's 1533-position model. The record is from RNAcentral.